RNAcentral lists this ribosomal RNA (497 nucleotides) under uncultured bacterium. RNAcentral's name for it is "partial 16S ribosomal RNA". It matches the Rfam family "Bacterial small subunit ribosomal RNA", at positions 28 to 507 of the family's 1533-position model. The record is from RNAcentral.
GACGAACGCUGGCGGCGUGCCUAAUACAUGCAAGUAGAACGCUGAAGAGAGGAGCUUGCUCUUCUUGGAUGAGUUGCGAACGGGUGAGUAACGCGUAGGUAACCUGCCUGGUAGCGGGGGAUAACUAUUGGAAACGAUAGCUAAUACCGCAUAAAAUGGAUUAUCGCAUGAUAAUCCAUUGAAAGGUGCAAAUGCAUCACUACCAGAUGGACCUGCGUUGUAUUAGCUAGUUGGUGGGGUAACGGCUCACCAAGGCGACGAUACAUAGCCGACCUGAGAGGGUGAUCGGCCACACUGGGACUGAGACACGGCCCAGACUCCUACGGGAGGCAGCAGUAGGGAAUCUUCGGCAAUGGACGGAAGUCUGACCGAGCAACGCCGCGUGAGUGAAGAAGGUUUUCGGAUCGUAAAGCUCUGUUGUAAGAGAAGAACGAGUGUGAGAGUGGAAAGUUCACACUGUGACGGUAUCUGACCAGAAAGGGACGGCUAACUACGUG